GACGAACGCUGGCGGCGUGCUUAACACAUGCAAGUCGAACGGAAAGGCCCUGCUUUUGUGGGGUGCUCGAGUGGCGAACGGGUGAGUAACACGUGAGUAACCUGCCCUUGACUUUGGGAUAACUUCAGGAAACUGGGGCUAAUACCGGAUAGGAGCUCCUGCUGCAUGGUGGGGGUUGGAAAGUUUCGGCGGUUGGGGAUGGACUCGCGGCUUAUCAGCUUGUUGGUGGGGUAGUGGCUUACCAAGGCUUUGACGGGUAGCCGGCCUGAGAGGGUGACCGGCCACAUUGGGACUGGGAUGCGGCCCAGACUCAUACGGGAGGCAGCAGUGGAGAAUAUUGCACAAUGGGCGGAAGCCUGAUGCAGCAACGCCGCGUGCGGGAUGACGGCCUUCGGGUUGUAAACCGCUUUCGCCUGUGACGAAGCGUGAGUGACGGUAAUGGGUAAAGAAGCACCGGCUAACUACGU
RNAcentral lists this ribosomal RNA (467 nucleotides) under uncultured bacterium. RNAcentral describes it as "partial 16S ribosomal RNA". It matches the Rfam family "Bacterial small subunit ribosomal RNA", at positions 28 to 506 of the family's 1533-position model. The record is from RNAcentral.